GCAGAUGGACCGCCCCCUCUCCUCCCGUCACCUCUCUCCGUGCAGCGCGAGGGCAGAACACGUCCGACGCGCGCACCUGGCGCCCGAGCUCAUUCAGUCACGUGCAGCCGCUUCCAGCGCGCGCGGGCGGCAGCGAGGAAGAGGAGACGUUUUCCCGGCCGCAAGGCGCGUGUUUUCCCGUCCGUCCCGAUGGAAGCCCGUGAGGUCGGGGUAAGAGGAGGAGGAGCAGGAGGAGGAGACGGCGGCAUGCGGAGAAGUGGAUGCUCGGUCUACCGUUAAGACACCUUGGGUGAUGGAGGAACAAAAACCUGGUGCACAUUCAUGGAGAGUUAUAUAAAGCCCCACCAGCAGAAACAUUCUCAACAACUGGUAAGUGAAUAUGUUCAGGAAUCAGGGCAAUCAGGAAACAUUUACUGCCAUAAUAUGUCAGACAUACAAGGAAUUUGACUUGGCGGUUGGUGCGUAACAGCAGACAGUAUGACAAUGGACGACAGGACAACAUAGUGCACGAGUUCAAAAGUUCAAAAGUGAAUGUGUUAAAGCGUAUGUGUGUAUAUGUUUGUAAUCAGGGUUGCUUGCAGUAUAAUAUGGUUGUGCCUAAUGGAGGCGGCUGGCCUGUGGAUAUUGUAAUUGAGUCAAGGCCAUGCAUUCAUUCACAUGAUUACUGAUUGUGAAUGCUGGUAUUAUUCUCAGUGUAUUUUUACACGUGGGAGUGUGCAAUACUUUCACUUAGUAAAUUGGGGUUGAAUGCAGAUUUAUUGAAAUUGAACGCAGAGAUUAUAGGCCGACUCAGUGGCCGGGGAAAAGCCCUGUAAACCCGAAGGAUACGUCACCCUCCUUUAAUCCUUACAGAAACGCGCAGUGCCACGUGGUUCUCAUUGUGAAUCUUUUCGCUAGAUUUAAGGCGACAAAACGACUUUUUUAAUGAAUGAUGUAACGCAUUAAAUGCAACGUAACGCGCCUAGCGUAACAAACGUCAAAUUACAACCUGAAAUAGACAAACGUAACCACCACAACGUAACAAAUGAGCAACGUAACAGUCACGUAACCUCAGCAGCAGCCAUAUCAACAAUAAACACCAUGAGGAGACUUCUAUGCUCCCAUGUACUGUCACGUAGCAAUCGUGAACCGUUACAUUCAGUUUUGGUUCCACACAGAACAGGAACAGCAAGCCAGUAGAUAAAGUCCUCUGCUCACAUGUGCGUACAGCGCAUACGUUUCCCCUGUUGUUUCACUUUAAGGUCUGCAUCCACAUCUGAGCUUUAUGUUGUUCACACUAGUGUUUUCUGUAGUUCUGUUGAUGCAAAGACACUUAAGGUAAUUACACACAAACCUAUGUGAAUAUGACCACAUUUACUUUAAAUGCAGAGAGGAAAACAUUCGGAUGUCUCUUCAAGGCAAAAGGAGAGGUUGCUCCAUUAACUGGGACAACUUGGACAGGAUUGUCAUUUCUCGCUUUGAUUAUGAGAAGAAUUGGAUUAAGCUAAUUGCCUGCAGAAUUAUACACUUGUGCUCAGUAGCCGGGUAUACAAUGUGUUUUUUGAUGGAACUGAUUUUCCGUUGCCUGUAGCUGCUGAUUUGAGUUACAUUGUGAGAAUCAAGCGAUUCCGACAUGGUCAUAUAGGUAUUUUAGCAUAAUGAUUAGUUUGAUUAUGUUAAUAUUUAGUCAAUUGAUAUGGUGAUAAGGCUUGUAUUUUCACGAAUGCCUCUGGGAAAACAAGCACAUCAUUAUUUAUCCCAGCACCGAAUGCAGUAUGCAAAAUAGCAUACAAACAAGUCUAUUUACAUGGGUAACUGCUUGAUAAAAUGAUUUUCAAAGUACAUGCACUAAUUACAUUAUUGUGUGUUGUAUAAUAUAAUAUGACGAAAAUGAUACCGGGUGCUUAUGAACAGAAAGUUAGAAAUAGGUGAUAUACAAUCUGUUUGACACUUAAACACACUUAAAUGAAAUGAUUCUCUGGUGCAGCAGCAUUUAAGAGGAUGUUACAAUAUGAUUCUCACUGGAGAACACAACAUCAGAAGUUGCAAAACAACCGAAAGAAGUAAUAUAACUCAUAUAUAUAAUAUAUAUAUAUAAAUAUAACUAAAGGAGAUUUUAUAUUUGUAAAAUGGAGCUCCUCAUUCAUAAAGAGAUUCGAGCCAGGUAAUGAGCAACACUGUUUUUACUCCUCAUCUACUCAUUAUAAAUGUCAAGGAGCUGAAUUUGAUUUGGUCACGUGAUUUUGCUGGCCGGCAAAACAGUCUUCUUAAAAGCGGCGUAAAGGUGUUGCACUGUCGCGUUCUUACCAACAUCUUGCCAUGAUAUCUGUGUCCUGGUCCAGGGUGUAAUAGGCAAAACUGCCCCUUUUGUAGGGUCUUUCCUUUAUUGAUUAACAUGCUUGCGAAGAAACAGACAUUAUUCCUCUUUUUUUAAUAUUCAUUGCGCUUUUUGAAAUCUUUUAUGUUCUUUUUACUUAACUCAUUUGUGUUGAAUAGCAGACGGCGUAUCUUUAAAAUAACACUGGCCAAAUAGUUCAAACACCAGUGAUUAGGCCAGAUUUCCAUAGAUGUCAUCAUUAGAUUAGAUAUCAUAUCAUUAGAUGUCAGUCGUACCAAACCAAGCAAGGCGGUUGCAGCAGAACCCUCGAAUUGAUUGAUUCUAGCAGUGGUGUGUUAUUGCCCAUGAAGGCGCAUAACAGCAGCAUUUUGAUUGCCUCUCGACAUGUCAAUGCCAGAGUUAGGGCUCACAGCAGCGGUGUUAAAAGCAGCCACCCGUUUACAGUACAAACUACGUCAAAGGUGCCGACAGGCCUCAAAGGUUUUUUUCCGUGGCGUACGCUCCUGUCAGGACGCCAUUAUCAGCUGUAACCACCCUGUGAGAGCGCCGAGAGGCUCCGUGAGCUAACCACUCGGGCACGCUCACCCGCACGAACAUGCACUGAAAGCAUAAUACAAGCAAAUUAAUUCCGAACACACAGACACGGUGAGUGACUUCAGGCAAACAUUACUCCAUAUGUCUUUACAUAAACACAUUUUUAUUGCUGCUGCAUUGAUGCUCUUCCGUUUUUUUAUUGCAACAAGCUAUGAUCAGUUUUUUCACAACACGGUUCUUCUUUUUAAGAGUCGGCUAAUACACUAAACAAUUUACCCCCCUCAAGAAAAUCUGAAUUUGUUUUUUCCCCCCAAAAAUAUAUAUACACACACUACCGUUCAAACGUUUGGGUCACAUAGAAAUGUCCUUAUUUUUCAAAGGAAGGACUAUUUUUCAUGAUUAAAUUAAUCACAAAUACACUAUACAUUGUUAAUGUGGUAAAUGACGAUUCUAAGUGGAAACAUCUGGUUUUUAAUGAAAUAUCUACAGGUGUAUAGAGGCCCAUUUCCAGCUACUAUCACUCCAGUGUUCUGAUGGUACAUUGUGUUCGCUAAUUGCCUUAGAAGACUAAUGGAUGAUUAGAGAACCCUUGAAAACCCUUGUGCAAUUAUGUUAGCACAGCUAAAAACAGCUAGUUGAGUAUCUGGAGCAUCACAUUUGUGGGUUCGAUUAUACUCUCAAAAUGGCCAGAAAAAGAGAAAUGAAACUUUCAUGUGAAACUUGCCAGUCUGUUCUUGUUCUUAGAAAUGAAGGCUAUUCCAAGCGAGAAAUUGCGAGAAAAACUGUGUACCACUCCGUUCAGAGAACAGGACAAACGGGCUCUAACCAUAGUAGAAGGAGAAGUGGGAGCCCCGGUGCACAACUCAGCAAGAAGACAAGUAGUUAUAUUAGAGUUAUAGACGCCUCACAGGUCCUCAACUGGCAGAUUCUAUAAAUGGUGAGAUGCAGAAGUGGUGAAGAGAUGCUGGAAGAGUGCAUGACGCCAUCUGCCAAGCAUGGUGGAGGUAAUGUGAUGGUGUGGGGCCUCUUUGGUGCUGGUAAAGUGGGAGAUUUGUACAAGGUAAAAGGGAUUUUAAGUAAGGAAGGCUAUCACUCCAUUUUGCAACGCCAUGCCGUGCCCUGUGGACAGCGCUUGAGCUGGAGUUAAUUUCCUCUUACAAUAGGACAAUGACCCAAAUCACACCUCCAAAUUAUGCAAGAACAAUUUAGGGUGAGAAGCAGACAGUUUGAAGAACAAAAUUAAUAUUUAAAAAAAUCAUUAUUUCUAAACCUGUCAAUGUUUUCUAUUCAUUUUGCAACUCAUUUGAUAAAUAAAAGUGUCAGUUUUCAUGGAAAACACAAAAUUGUCUGAGUGACCCCAAAUUUUUUAACGGUAGUGUAUAUGUAUAUUUAUUUUUAUUUUUUUUAUUCUACAAUAUGGCAGUUCCAACACGUGUGCGCGCGCACGGACAGAGAGCGUGCGUCCGCCUGCAACGACUACUAGCUGGAUAAUUGGAGAUGUGAAAAACAAUUCCAG
Gasterosteus aculeatus aculeatus (three-spined stickleback) is the source of this 4367-nucleotide long non-coding RNA. The record is from Ensembl. Lineage: Eukaryota; Metazoa; Chordata; Actinopteri; Perciformes; Gasterosteidae.